GAUGAACGCUGGCGGAGUGCCUAACACAUGCAAGUCGAGCGGCAGCGCGAAGAAUUUAUUCUUUGGCGGCGAGCGGCGGACGGCUGAGUAACGCGUGGGAACAUGCCCCAAAGUGAGGGAUAAGCAUCGGAAACGGUGUCUAAUACCGCAUAUGAUCUUCGGAUUAAAGGAUUUAUCCGCUUUGGGAAUGGCCUGCGUACGAUUAGAUAGUUGGUGAGGUAAAGGCUCACCAAGUCUACGAUCGUUAACUGGUUUGAGAGGAUGAUCAGUCAGACUGGAACUGAGACACGGUCCAGACUCCUACGGGAGGCAGCAGUGAGGAAUCUUCCACAAUGGACGAAAGUCUGAUGGAGCAACUCCGCGUGCAGGAUGAAGGCCUUCGGGUCGUAAACUGCUUUUAUGAGUGAAGAAUAUGACGGUAACUCAUGAAUAAGGGUCGGCUAACUACG
RNAcentral lists this ribosomal RNA (449 nucleotides) under uncultured bacterium. Its description in RNAcentral is "bacterial SSU rRNA". It matches the Rfam family "Bacterial small subunit ribosomal RNA", at positions 28 to 505 of the family's 1533-position model. The record is from RNAcentral.